UUUAUAACCAAUCAUUUUAUCAAGCAUUUGAUAAAAAUUUUCCAUUAACUUUCUCUGCUGGAAACACGAUGAAUAGAGUGGUUGUGAUUGUGUCUUCAGUUUUGGUGUUCGGGAAUCUGGUUCGACCUCUUAACAGUGUUGGUUCUGCCAUUACUUUUUUUGGGACUUUUCUGUUCACAAGCUACAGUUGCAAUGAAAGCAAACAAAAUUGAAGAGUUGGGGUUGGAAUAUGCAUCCGUGACGAACUUGGUCAAUUUGUGCUUUCAAAGACAGAAUGGAUUUCUCUUCUUUGGGGAAUGGAUGUUGGUGAACCUCUUGUUGAGUAUAUGUCCCUCAAUUUCCCUAUAUUGAUAGCCUGAUUCAAUUUCAAUAUCCUCAAUUUCCAUAAAUUGAUGGUCUGAUUUAAUUUCAAUAUGAAUGUUUAUUCAUAACUUGAAAUGCAAGUGUGACCCUUGACACAAUGACUAUUCAAUGUUUUUUUGUUUCUUCAUAAUAUGAUGGCGUUGUGAUAUAUAUGUAAUCAGGAUGAUGAAAUUAGAAUGAUGCCUAUACAAUGGUUUAUUCAUGUAAACCACAUUUUUUAUUCAUAUGUAAUCAGGAUGGUAUGCAUGGAAGAUUUUAUGGUCUAAAUGCAAUUUGAAUAUGAAUUUUUAAUCA
This is a long non-coding RNA of Trifolium pratense (red clover), 657 nucleotides long. RefSeq lists it as uncharacterized. NCBI's taxonomy places the organism in Eukaryota, Viridiplantae, Streptophyta, Magnoliopsida, Fabales, Fabaceae. The record is from RefSeq and is a predicted model, not a curated record. The transcript has 2 exons.